This 494-nucleotide ribosomal RNA is filed under the name uncultured bacterium. RNAcentral's name for it is "bacterial SSU rRNA". It matches the Rfam family "Bacterial small subunit ribosomal RNA", at positions 903 to 1397 of the family's 1533-position model. The record is from RNAcentral.
AAAUGAAUAGACGGGGGCCCGCACAAGCGGAGGAACAUGUGGUUUAAUUCGAUGAUACGCGAGGAACCUUACCCGGGCUCGAACGGUACGCGAACGAUCUAGAGAUAGAGAGGUCCUUCGGGACGCGUAUCGAGGUGCUGCAUGGUUGUCGUCAGCUCGUGCCGUGAGGUGUCGGCUUAAGUGCCAUAACGAGCGCAACCCUUGUUGACAGUUGCCAUCAGGUGAAGCUGGGGACUCUGUCGAGACUGCCACCGUAAGGUGUGAGGAAGGGGGGGAUGACGUCAAAUCAGCACGGCCCUUAUGUCCGGGGCGACACACGUGUUACAAUGGUGGGUACAGAGGGUAGCUACACAGCGAUGUGAUGCCAAUCUCGAAAACCCAUCUCAGUUCGGAUUGGAGUCUGCAACUCGACUCCAUGAAGUUGGAUUCGCUAGUAAUCGCGCAUCAGCCAUGGCGCGGUGAAUACGUUCCCGGGCCUUGUACACACCGCCCGU